UCUGACUGCUCUGCCUGACAAGAACCAUGUGUUACGCGUAAAUAGUUCAGUAAUAUAGGCGAAGUUCUGUUCAAGUGCGUGAAAUUUAUUCAAAUUUCUUUUAAGAUUUUUUUUGUUUGUUUGUUUUUUGUGAGUGAUAAGAGAUGGUUUAUCUGUACUCAAUAAUUUUGAAUGAAUAGAGGGACUUCGACGUACGACUAGCUCAGACACUGUUCCACGUAAGAGCCGUGCAUUAAGGAAUGCAUUCAGUUUUAUUCGCCACUGCCCUUAUACCCUCAGCAUUAAAAAUUCUCACCUAUUUUGUUUACUUUCAACCUCAUGAAACAUUUUUUUCUUGUCAUGGUGACUUCAACUUUUCAUGAGCUGAAUACACACACACAAAUUAACCGAGAGAGUCUGGGAAUUUUAGAUAGACUUUAAGCACUUGAAGUUUCAGCGAAAGUCAUUUUCCUCUCGAAAAAGUCUGAAAACAUAGAACUAAUGAAUUCAAUCCUGCGAAUACAAAAACUGUCAUCGAUCUUACUGAAAAAUCUAAGUAAUCUUUUUGAGAAAAUGAACCGACUUAACACAAAUUCCUACGAAAGUAGUGAGAGAGCUCUUAUAAAAUCAGGAAAAUUGUCGAAGGAUAUUUUGUCGGGAAUUGCUCCCUUUUUCCACUCAGAGAUAUUCCUAAAAGUAUUGCGUGUAAUACUUGGUCCUCACUUGGCUUACAUUUCUAUGUUUUCGCCGUUACUGUUUCUACUGUACUGCUUCAUCUUGUUUCAAGGCGAUGCAUCAUUAUUAAUCCAACCUGUAUCAACGACAGAUUUCUGUUUAAACGAAUUACCACAAGCCAACGUAUCUUGUCAAAGUAUCUUCCAUGGAGAAAGAGAUAUUUUAGCCAGACUGCAUUUGAAUAAUUUGCCGCACUUCAUUAUUGGCUUGUACAUAUUAAUUUUAGUCGUCUACUUGGGCACAGCAGCACUGAUUCACGUAGGUAUUAGACGCAGAACUACAGAGUUCAUCUAUUAAUAUGCAUAAUAAUUUUAUCAUUAUAUAUAUUUAAAAU
This 1048-nucleotide long non-coding RNA is filed under the name Bemisia tabaci. Its description in RNAcentral is "lncRNA ENSSSA3NGG003024". The record is from RNAcentral. Lineage: Eukaryota; Metazoa; Arthropoda; Insecta; Hemiptera; Aleyrodidae.